This 119-nucleotide ribosomal RNA is filed under the name Helianthus annuus (common sunflower). The record is from RNAcentral. Lineage: Eukaryota; Viridiplantae; Streptophyta; Magnoliopsida; Asterales; Asteraceae.
GGUUGCGAUCAUACCAGCACUAAUGCACCGGAUCCCAUCAGAACUCCGCAGUUAAGCGUGCCUGGGCGAGAGUAGUACUAGGAUGGGUGACCCCCUGGGAAGUCCUCGUGUUGCAACCC